UCUUCCGUAGUAUAGUGGUCAGUAUGUGAGCUUGUCAUCGGACACCGAUUUCGCUCGAGACCCGGGUUCAAUUCCCGGCGGGAGAG
Non-coding RNA from Triangularia setosa, 86 nucleotides. The record is from the annotation of a GenBank genome assembly. NCBI's taxonomy places the organism in Eukaryota, Fungi, Ascomycota, Sordariomycetes, Sordariales, Podosporaceae.